GAUGAACGCUGGCGGCGUGCCUAAUACAUGCAAGUCGAGCGAACAGACGAGGAGCUUGCUCCUCUGACGUUAGCGGCUGACGGGUGAGUAACACGUGGAUAACCUACCUAUAAGACUGGGAUAACUUCGGGAAACCGGAGCUAAUACCGGAUAAUAUAUUGAACCGCAUGGUUCAAUAGUGAAAGACGGUUUUGCUGUCACUUAUAGAUGGAUCCUCGCCGCAUUAGCUAGUUGGUAAGGUAACGGCUUACCAAGACAAUGAUGCGUAGCCGACCUGAGAGGGUGAUCGCCCAAACUGGAACUGAGACACGGACCAGACUCCUACGGGAGGCAACAGUAGGGAAUCUUCCGCAAUGGGCGAAAGCCUGACAGAGCAACGCCGCGUGAGGGAUGAAGGUCUUCGGAUCAUAAAACUCUGUUAUGAGGGAAGAACAAAUGUGUAAGUAACUAUGCACGUCUUGACGGUACCUAAUCAGAAAGCCACGGCUAACUACGUG
This 497-nucleotide ribosomal RNA is filed under the name uncultured bacterium. RNAcentral's name for it is "partial 16S ribosomal RNA". It matches the Rfam family "Bacterial small subunit ribosomal RNA", at positions 28 to 507 of the family's 1533-position model. The record is from RNAcentral.